Molecule: transfer RNA, 79 nt
Filed under: Leptolyngbya sp. NIES-3755
Lineage: Bacteria; Bacillati; Cyanobacteriota; Cyanophyceae; Leptolyngbyales; Leptolyngbyaceae
Description: tRNA-Leu
Rfam family: tRNA
About the family: Transfer RNA (tRNA) molecules are approximately 80 nucleotides in length. Their secondary structure includes four short double-helical elements and three loops (D, anti-codon, and T loops). Further hydrogen bonds mediate the characteristic L-shaped molecular structure. tRNAs have two regions of fundamental functional importance: the anti-codon, which is responsible for specific mRNA codon recognition, and the 3' end, to which the tRNAs corresponding amino acid is attached (by aminoacyl-tRNA synthetases). tRNAs cope with the degeneracy of the genetic code in two manners: having more than one tRNA (with a specific anti-codon) for a particular amino acid; and 'wobble' base-pairing, i.e. permitting non-standard base-pairing at the 3rd anti-codon position.
Source: RNAcentral
ACUCCUGUAGCCCAAUUUGGUAGAGGCAGCUAUCUCAAAAAUAGUUGAUGUGUGAGUUCGACUCUCACCAGGAGUACCA